ACGAGGGGUGCAAGCGUUAAUCGGAAUUACUGGGCGUAAAGCGUACGCAGGCGGUUUGUUAAGCAAGAUGUGAAAGCCCCGGGCUCAACCUGGGAACUGCAUUUUGAACUGGCAAACUAGAGUCUUGUAGAGGGGGGUAGAAUUUCAGGUGUAGCGGUGAAAUGCGUAGAGAUCUGAAGGAAUACCGGUGGCGAAGGCGGCCCCCUGGACAAAGACUGACGCUCAGGUACGAAAGCGUGGGGAGCAAACAGG
RNAcentral lists this ribosomal RNA (252 nucleotides) under uncultured bacterium. RNAcentral's name for it is "partial 16S ribosomal RNA". It matches the Rfam family "Bacterial small subunit ribosomal RNA", at positions 525 to 776 of the family's 1533-position model. The record is from RNAcentral.